CACACGUCCCGUGCAAAAUUCGCCAUUUUCAGCUCCAAUUUCCAGGUGCUCUGUACCAUUUUUGACAUUUUUCGCCCCAAAAUGAGCCUUUUCCGCGCCGUUUCUGCUAUUUUCAGCCCCGUGCUCCGUAUUUUCAGUCCCAAAAUCGGCGUUUUUUGCCCCAUUUCCAGCACCACUUUGGACAUUUCCAAACCCGUUCCCAGUACUCCCAGUGACGCCACCAAUGUUUUCGAGGCACUUUCCCCCAUUUUUGGGUCCGCUUCCCCCAUUUUUGGGGUCAAUCCUCCCAUUUUUGGGAUCGUUUCCACCACUUCUGGGGUCGUUUCCCCCAUUUUUGGGUCUCUUUCCUCCAUUCUGAGAACAACUCCCGCCGUUUCCGCAGCAGCUUCCCCCAUUUUUGGGGCCAUUUCCUCCAUUUUUGGGGCCGUUCUCUCCAUUUUCAGACUCGUUCCUUCUCUUUUCAAAUCUCUUCUCUCCAUUUUCGGGUCCAUUCUUGCCGUUUUUGGGGCCAUUUCCCCCAUUUUCGGGACCGUUCUCUCCGCUUUUGGGGCCGUGCCCCCAAUUUUCAGCCCCGUGCCCCCAAUUCCCACCUCUCCUCUCCCCACUUUUGAGCCCCGUUCCCACAAUUUCAGCCCCACAUCCCCCAAACUCAGCCCUGCUUCCUCCAGCCUCGCCACCCCCCACCUCAGCCCCAUUUCCUCUGGUUUUAGCCCCAAUUCCCCAAAUCCCGGCCCCGCUUCCCCCAGCUUUGCCCCCACUUCCUCCAAUCUCAGCCCCAAACCCCCAAAUCCCAGCCCCGCUUCCUUCCAUCCCAGCCCCAUUUCCCCCCGUUUCCCCCCCGAUUUUCCCACCCCUGACUUCAGCCCCAUUAUUUCCCCCACUUCCACCCCCGAACUCAGCCCCAUUUCCCCCCGUUUCCCCCCCCACUUCGCCCCCGAUUCCUCUGCCCCCCGCCUCAGCCCCACACCCCCCGCUUUCAGCCCCGACCUCGGCCCCGUUCCCCCCGAUCUCGGCCCGGUUCCCCCCGAUCCCAGCCCUCGCCAGCUCGGCCUGGAAAUGCUGCAGGAAGCGGCGGGCGAAGCGUUGGGCGAAGGCGGCCUCCGCCCCCCAAGUGUGGGGCUGAGCCCCCACGAAGGCGCGGAAGCGGCGAGCGAGGAGGCGGGCGGCGGCGCGGGCCUGAGCCUCGCAGAACUCGCGCCAGGCGGGGGGCUCCGGGGGGGCGGACCCCGACCUUCCUCCUCCUCCUCCUCCUCCUCCUCCUCCAGACCCCCCCCCGGCCCCGUUCAUGGCGGGGGGGGUGCGGCCGCGGGGGGGGUCCUCACCUGGAAGGAAGGGGGAGAAAGGGUGGUUAGGGGGCAGCCGUCUUCUUGCCCCCAACAUGCGCUAAUUCGCCUCAAAUCCCAGCAUGCCCUCCU
This 1415-nucleotide long non-coding RNA is filed under the name Numida meleagris (helmeted guineafowl). RNAcentral describes it as "lncRNA (ENSNMEG00000001948.1)". Lineage: Eukaryota; Metazoa; Chordata; Aves; Galliformes; Numididae. The record is from RNAcentral.